CAUGCUUUUGUGUAAGUGCUAAGCUCUAGUGUCUAACGUUUGCAAUGGUUUGUAGCUUCCGUGCAUGCAUUUGUGUUAGCUAUAGGCUAGUGGCUAACUCUGGCUACAUUUUUUAGCUUUGUGCAUGCGUUUGUUAGCUCUUGGCUAGUGGCUAACUGCGGCUAUUGUUUGUAGCAUUUGUGCAUGGCAUGCUGAUUUAGUUUUGACUGGUUAUAACUGGGGCUUUGAAUAUGUGCAUGUUUUGGUUAGCUAGUCUAGUGGCUGUGACUUGGCAGUUGAUUUAUUGGUUCUCUUUAGCGUACUGAUGUUGACUAUGGGGGUGUUUGAGCAUAUGUGUUUUGUGCAGGGUAGAGGAUAGUUGGGGUUUUCUCAAGCUAACAAGGAUAAGUUAUGUCAGGUGGCAGAAAUGUUGGAGGUUGAAAUAGCAGAGGAGUUUAACAAGUUAGGUGUUGCAAUGCUGUUAUGAGAGAAGUGGACUGAGUUCUUGCUGCUAGUUCGGGUGAAAAGGAGUCAGGAGGCAGAAUACGAGGCUAGAACAAGAAAUAGCAUUCCUAAAACAGGAUAAAUCAAAUCAAAUCCAAAUGUAUUGGUCACACAUAUUUAGCAGAGGGAAAUGUUUGUAAUUUCCACCAGUGAUCAGGUUUGUGUAACCCCUUGUGAUAAGUCAGGUGUGUCAGGGGGUGGAGUCUCUCAGGGAGAGUUUUGAGGUAUCCCCAGUGUGUGAGUGUUACUCAGGUUCAGAAGAGUGCUGAUGGCAAACCAGAUAGGAGGAGGAUGAUUUGUGUGGGGACUUGGAGGAAACAUUCUUUGCCAAGCUAGACCGUGGGUCCAGGAAAUGGUCCUCUACAGUGAUGAAGGGGAUUCUUGUGUGUCUCUAGCUGAGAAUUAUUAGGCAGAAAUAUGUGACCCGUUUCGGCGUAUGUUGCAAGUCACGACUUCACUGCAAAGCCGUUUGAACGUUAAAAAUAUAUUUGAUCAAAAUGUGUUUUGGGGCAGAAAUUCCUUCUCCAACUUGUGAACAUUCAUGUGCCUUUAAUAACAAACGUGUAUUUUUUAUUUAAACAAAAUAAAAAAUAUAUAUUUCACUUUCAUUAACUAGGCAAGUCCAUUAAGAACAAAUUCUUAUUUACAAUGACGGCCUACACCGGCAAAACCCGGACGAUGCUGAGCCAAUUGUGUGCCGCCCUAUGGGACUCCCAAUCACAUCAAGUUGUCAUACAGCCUGGAUGAGUGGGCUGGACAUGCCGAGAGAUGAGUUUCAGAAUGUUCUGCGGUGUAGCAUCUUGUGUCUAUAAAAUGAGCUGCUCGUUAUGCGUAUAUAAUCCUUUCUACUGCAGUUUUUUUUAAAGAUACAACGUUAGCCAUGGAGAACUGCAAAUAUGUUGCUACUGCUCUCAAUAACAUUUCUGCCCUGAAUUUAUCAGGCGCUAUCAACAAAGGUCAGUGGGGAAAAGUUGCGAUGGACUACUUUCUGGAGGACGAUCCUGCAGAUCGUGCCAUGCGGAGUCUCUCUGACUCUGAAAAUGUAUCAGACGAUGAGGAUUUAGGUUAAAACAUUUUCAUUGAAGAAGACAUUGUAGAGUCUUCUGAUGACAGAGAUGGGGAAGAAACGGCGAUCCACGUGUAUGAACUGUGUGUAACGAACACGCAUGGCUCUCCUCCACCAGUCAUACAAAGAGAAUGUUCUAAUGCCUACCAUCAAAAAGAGAGCUGGCCAAAGCAAGCAAAGAUUACUUGCAGCAAGUGCUGAACUUCAUCAACAACUACGCCGAGGAUCAUGCAAUAGUAUUACCAAGACGCCACCCAAGACAAACACUUUGGUGGAAAGGUGCUACCCUCCCUUGUGACAAAAGCAGCAGUGUGGCUGGAAUCAAUGACAACACUUGCAAACAGUAUGAACCUUCAGAAAGACCAGAGUGAACACUUUGUCUGAAAUUGCUGGUGUUGUGAAGGACAGCACUGUGACAGGGGCCAACAUCUGGUUGGACUGGAUGAUGAUACAGUGCUGGUGGAAAGCUAUGGCUUGCAACAACACCUGACACUGUACUUCAGGCCGCUGCCACGGAUCAAGCAAUACCAGCACUUCAGCUUCAAUGCUCUGAAACCUGGUGUUGUUGUCGCCAAGGAGCGUUCGGACUGUCGGGACCAGGUUUCAGCUGCUGUGCAACGCUGACAUCCUUCCUCUCAUAGAUGGUUUGCCUGUAAAAGCACCACCUGGACUGGACACAGCUAGAGAAUAACUGGUUCGGACGGACUAGUUAUCAGCACUAUCUGCAGUGCCUCAAUUGACCCUUUCAACACACAUACUGCUACUAUUUGUUUUAUUAUCCUGCUGCUCAGCCACUUUACCCCUGAUUGUAUGCAUAUAACUUACCUCGUCUAACACUAUCGUUAUUGAUAUUGUUCUUGUACAUACUGUAUAUUAUUUUAUUUAUAUUGACACUAUCUAUUUCUGAUAUUGUUACUAUGCAAGUAACCAUUUGUCUGUACCGUUUACACCUUCUGUAGAGACCCAUCCACUUAGCAAGAGUUAGCAAAAUAUUGAUAUAUAAAAUUAAUAUUGAUGUGUGGUCGUAACAUUAUUUUGUGACAUACCACAACAAUAUCAUGUGACCGUAUCAAGUGUCUACCACAUAAAUUAUUAUUUAAAUAUAUGGUGCAUGCAUCUGUUUAUGUACUGUACAUGUGCACCUCACUCAGGUUUCAACUCGGGUUGCAUGGCCUUAACUUGCAUGUGUAACAGUAUAUCAAGUAUGUUAAUGUACUGGUAUGAAGGCAUUUGGGCAGUGGUGUAAAGUACUUCAGUAAAAAUACAUUAAAGUACUAUUUAUGGGGGGUAUCUGUACAUUACUUUACUAUUUAUAUUUUUGGCAACUUUUACUUUUACUUCACUACAUUUCUAA
This is a long non-coding RNA of Oncorhynchus keta (chum salmon), 2903 nucleotides long. RefSeq lists it as uncharacterized. NCBI's taxonomy places the organism in Eukaryota, Metazoa, Chordata, Actinopteri, Salmoniformes, Salmonidae. The transcript is spliced from 4 exons. The record is from RefSeq and is a predicted model, not a curated record.